This 1479-nucleotide long non-coding RNA is filed under the name Gouania willdenowi (blunt-snouted clingfish). RNAcentral's name for it is "lncRNA (ENSGWIG00000005197.1)". Lineage: Eukaryota; Metazoa; Chordata; Actinopteri; Blenniiformes; Gobiesocidae. The record is from RNAcentral.
ACUGAGUAGCCAAAAGAAAGAAAGAAGAAAAAAAAAGAAAGAAAAAAAAAAAACAGAAGAGCGAGCGCGUGAUUUCCGGCGGUUAAAAAGCUCCGCCCCCUCCCUAUAUAUUGACACGUUGCUCCAUCCUGAGCCACUCCCCCUGCUACACACGGAGCAAUGGGAAUGUCAUGGAGUAAGCUAGCAGCUAUCUGUGUCGGAGUGUGUUCGUGUGUUAGCGGAGCACUGAUGUUGGCCGUGGGACCCAACAUGCAGAGCGUCAUAUGUGACCUGGGGCGUCCGUGCCACCUCACGUGCACACAUCGUUUAUCAGGCAUCACUGACCUGAACUGGGUGAAGAAUUCUGGUUCCUAUCCACGUCUUUAUGGAGACCACGGUGACGGAGAGACGUUCAUCCACCCUGACUACAGGGGGAAGCUGUCUGUGAGCAGCUACGGGGAGUCUGAACAUGGUCUGGUGUCUGACCUGUGUCUGAUGGAGCCUGGGGUCCACUCUGAGUCUGUGUACCUCAGCCAGGCCAGGAACCAUUUAGACCAGUUCAGCCACUGCUUCCUCAACCUCACAGUGAAAGCGCCGGUGACGGACAUCGACAUCAGGAGAGAGAGGAACCAGAUCGUCUGCCGCUCAAAGAAAAACUAUCCCAAGCUUCAGCUGGAGUGGCUUCUCGACCCUUCCUGGGAAAAUGUGAACCAUUCCGAGGUGGUGCAGCAUGACCUGGACGGACUGUUCAGCGUGCAGAGCUUCCUGGACCUCCCACACUCAGAGGAAGUGGACGGAAACCUCGCCGUCAGCUGUGUCGUCAGCAGGGACCAUGAAUGGAAGAGGGGCACAUGGACCCAACGAAAUCUCCUCCUUUCCCCCGGCGUCGACCCGUGGAUCCACUGCAUUCCAGACUCCAAUGAGACGCUCCACAGCUUCACCUGGACAUUCCACCAUGAGCAUCUCAUCCUGUCACAGAACAGUAGCAGCGACGCUUCACUCAUGGUGUCUGAUGAUUGGAAGGAGAACGUGAAGAAGGUGUCUGCGUGGGGCGACCUGCAGCUCAAAGCCUUCAGUCCAAGGAAGGCGGGGCUCUACUCCUGUGUGGCUGAAGGCUUAGCGGACACCUUCUUUACCGACACCAUCCUGAACGUUGACCAAGGGCACUACAUGCGGCUGUAUUGGAUUCCCAUACUUGUCCUGGUAGGGGGGCUCCUUCUCCUCCUACUUCUGUGGAAGAUCUUUAAGAUCAUCGUUGGCUCGAGGAACAACGCUGGAAACAUGUGGUGUAUGAGGGAGAUGUACGUACACAGAAUUACAUUCAUUCUUCUUCUUUUAAACCUUCUUUAUGGACGUCCUGAUCCAGACAUCGUGGAGCAACAAACUUGCGUGAAAAUGUCGGCUACGACAAAAACCUGAAUUGUGCGUAUAAGCAGACGAGUAAUGGCAAAAAAACCAAAAACGUUUAUUUAAAAUAAAUAAAUAAAUGAAAGUCUGUCA